UCUGUGAAAACAAUGACAAUUCUUACAUAACUGGAUACAUUGUCUGCCAAUGAGGACAACCACAGAGAGCAUUUCAGUUGUUAAAAUGUUCAUAUUCCACAUUGAUUAUUUAAAAAAUUGUAAAUAUAUGGGCAUUUACAAAUAAAUAUGAAGGUUUUAAAAGAGGUUUUUCACUCUAGCAUCCCCUAGCCAGUAGUGUUUGAAAAUCAUUUUU
This 214-nucleotide long non-coding RNA is filed under the name Bos taurus (domestic cattle). RNAcentral describes it as "long non-coding RNA NONBTAT025520". Lineage: Eukaryota; Metazoa; Chordata; Mammalia; Artiodactyla; Bovidae. The record is from RNAcentral.